This 253-nucleotide ribosomal RNA is filed under the name uncultured bacterium. RNAcentral describes it as "partial 16S ribosomal RNA". It matches the Rfam family "Bacterial small subunit ribosomal RNA", at positions 524 to 776 of the family's 1533-position model. The record is from RNAcentral.
GACAGAGGCCCCGAGCGUUAAUCGGAAUCACUGGGCUUAAAGGGUGCGUAGGCCGGCCCGCAAGUGCUUUGUGAAAUCCCCCGGCUCAACCGGGGAAUAGCGGGGCAUACUGCGGGUCUUGAGGAAGGUAGGGGUUGCCGGAACUGUAGGUGGAGCGGUGAAAUGCGUAGAUAUCUACAGGAACGCCGAUGGUGAAGACGGGCAACUGGGCCUUUCCUGACGCUGAGGCACGAAAGCGUGGGGAGCAAACAGG